CUAAUCUCUCUGACAGCAUUCCAUGCUGGUGGCAAAAUACUCUCUGAAGUUCUGCACCUAACAAUAUUUCAGGAUAUGGGAAUUUCAAGGGUAGUUUCUUCUUUUUAAGCAACACUCAGCAGCCCCGGACACAUGGCAGAACUAAGUGCUACACCUGUACACACCAACCAGCCACCCUGGUUUCAAAUAUUAAGCCUGGAGCUUGUCUUCUAGGUGCAAAAUCUCCACUGCCUUCCAAAGUCAAACCCACCUACUGCGUCUGUAUCCAAGACUGACCUGAAACUGUCCAGCUCCUGACAAUAAAGGUCUUCCCUACUUCCAGAUUUCUUUGAAAUUGCCCUCCUCUUUCCAUGGUGAAGUAGGAACUGCAGAUCCAGAGAGUUUUGGGCUUGGGUUGUUGGGUUUUCUGUAGGGAACUGUUUGUUUUUUUGGGUUUUUUCAGAAGAUUUGUUCAUAGUAUUGACAUUGAAAAUACCUAUUUUAUAAAUGUGAUUCUAACCCUUCCCUAACCACUAUAAUUAAUUAAAUAAAUGUCAGAAGGAUAAAUUA
Molecule: long non-coding RNA, 549 nt
Organism: Melospiza melodia melodia
Lineage: Eukaryota; Metazoa; Chordata; Aves; Passeriformes; Passerellidae
Exons: 3
Source: RefSeq, a predicted model, not a curated record